GACGAACGCUGGCGGCGUGCUUAACACAUGCAAGUCGAACGGAAAGGCCUCUUUCGGGGGGUACUCGCGUGGCGAACGGGUGAGUAACACGUGAGUAACCUGCCCUUUACUUUGGGAUAACUUCAGGAAACUGGGGCUAAUACCGGAUAGGAGCUCCUGCUGCAUGGUGGGGGUUGGAAAGUUUCGGCGGUUGGGGAUGGACUCGCGGCUUAUCAGCUUGUUGGUGGGGUAGUGGCUUACCAAGGCUUUGACGGGUAGCCGGCCUGAGAGGGUGACCGGCCACAUUGGGACUGGGAUACGGCCCAGACUCCUACGGGAGGCAGCAGUGGGGAAUAUUGCACAAUGGGUGGGAGCCUGAUGCAGCAACGCCGUGUGCGGGAUGACGGCCUUCGGGUUGUAAACCGCUUUCGCUCAUGACGAAGCUUUGUGUGACGGUAGUGGGUAAAGAAGCACCGGCUAACUACGUG
Molecule: ribosomal RNA, 467 nt
Filed under: uncultured bacterium
Lineage: Bacteria
Description: partial 16S ribosomal RNA
Rfam family: Bacterial small subunit ribosomal RNA
Source: RNAcentral